CCUACGGGUGGCAGCAGUGGGGAAUAUUGGACAAUGGGCGAAAGCCUGAUCCAGCCAUGCCGCGUGUGAAGAAGGCCUUCGGGUUGUAAAGCACUUUCAGUGGGGAAGAAAGCCUUGGGGCUAAUACCCUCGAGGAAGGACAUCACCCACAGAAGAAGCACCGGCUAACUCCGUGCCAGCAGCCGCGGUAAUACGGAGGGUGCGAGCGUUAAUCGGAAUUACUGGGCGUAAAGCGCGCGUAGGCGGUCUGAUAAGCCGGUUGUGAAAGCCCCGGGCUCAACCUGGGAACGGCAUCCGGAACUGUCAGGCUAGAGUGCAGGAGAGGAAGGUAGAAUUCCCGGUGUAGCGGUGAAAUGCGUAGAGAUCGGGAGGAAUACCAGUGGCGAAGGCGGCCUUCUGGACUGACACUGACGCUGAGGUGCGAAAGCGUGGGUAGCAAACAGGAUUAGAUACCCUUGUAGUC
RNAcentral lists this ribosomal RNA (463 nucleotides) under Vreelandella stevensii. RNAcentral's name for it is "partial 16S ribosomal RNA". It matches the Rfam family "Bacterial small subunit ribosomal RNA", at positions 338 to 795 of the family's 1533-position model. Lineage: Bacteria; Pseudomonadati; Pseudomonadota; Gammaproteobacteria; Oceanospirillales; Halomonadaceae. The record is from RNAcentral.